GCGCUAAGGCCCCGCGGCGGCGGCGGCGCUGCCGUGUUGACAGCGGCGGCCGCGCCGGGAGCUGCCCCGGGAAGCGGGUUGGCGGCGCCGGUUCUCCCGCUCCCCACUCCGCUAUGGCCUUCAUGGAGAAGCCGCCGGCCGGCAAGGUGCUGCUGGACGACACGGUGCCGCUGACAGCGCAGAUCGAGGCGAGCCAGAGCCUGCACUCGCACACGGAAUACAUAAUCCGUGUUCAGAGAGGAGUUUCAGCAGAAAACAGUUGGCAGAUUGUGAGGCGAUACAGUGACUUUGACUUACUUAAUAACAGCUUGCAGAUCUCAACUCUAAGUCUACCUCUUCCUCCAAAAAAAUUGAUUGGAAAUAUGGAGCGUGAAUUCAUCGCUGAAAGACAGAAGGGACUCCAGGCCUAUCUCGAUGUAAUUACCACCCAUCACAUACUGUCUAACUGUGAACUGGUAAAGAAAUUCUUGGACCCAAACAGCUAUUCUGUAAACUACACUGAAAUUGCCUUACAGCACGUUUCAAUGUUCUUCCGAUCAGAGCCAAAGUGGGAAGUGGUAGAACCAUUAAAAGAUAUAGGUUGGCGAAUACGUAAGAAAUAUUUCUUAAUGAAGAUAAAGAAUCAACCAAAGGAGCGGCUAGUGUUAAGCUGGGCUGAUCUUGGCCCUGAUAAGUACUUGUCUGACAAAGACUUACAGUAUGCUGUGAAACUUCUUUCUUCCUGUUCUCAUCCCUAUAUUUACAAAAUCACUUUUGCCACUGCCAAUGAAUCUUCAGCACUGGUUAUUAGACCAUUCAGUGAAAAAGGGACACUAAAGGACCUUAUUUAUAAGGCAAAGCCAAAAGACCCAUUCCUGAAGAAGUAUUGCAAUCCUAAAAAAAUUCAAGGUCUUGAGCUUCAGCAAAUAAAAACAUAUGGAAGGCAAAUAUUAGAGGUAUUAAAAUUCUUGCAUGAGAAAGGAUUUCCUUACGGCCAUCUUCACUCUGCCAAUGUGAUGUUGGAUGGGGAUACCUGCAAGUUACUGGAUCUAGAAAAUUCCUUGUUGGGACUUCCAUCAUUUUAUCGAUCAUACUUUUCACAGUUUCGGAAAAUUAAUACUUUAGAAGGUGUUGAUGUACAUUGCUUUGGACACUUACUGUAUGAAAUGACGUACGGAAGACCCCCAGACACGAUUCCAGUAGAGAGCUUCCCCCCUGCACCCUCAGUGUUUGUUGUGUCAGUGUUGGAAUCCAUUCUGACCUGUGAAGCUAUGAAGAAUGGCAUGCCAACUGUCUCACGGCUCUUACAGAUGCCAUUAUUCAGUGACGUCCUGCUAACAAACUCUGAGAAACCACAGUUUAAGAUUCCUACCAAGCUAAAAGAGGCGUUGAAAAUCUCCAAGGAAUGCAUAGAAAAGCGAUUAACAGAAGAACAGAAAUUGAUUCACCAGCACAGAAGGCUGACAAGAGCUCAAUCUCAUCAUGGCUCUGAAGAAGAAAAAAAGAAAAGGAAGAUCUUAGCACGAAAAAAGUCAAAACGUUCUGCCUAUGAAAGUGGGGAAGAACACUCAGCAAAAUACAGCAACUCAAAUAACUCAGCAGGCUCUGGGGCAAGUUCCCCUUUAACAUCUCCAUCAUCCCCCACUCCUCCCUCUACAGCAGGUAAGUUCAAGAGUCAUUAUUUUAUGGUUUUGGGUUUUUUUAUUCCCCUCUGUUCCUCAGUGGUGGGUGUUAUUUCCAAGGAUGACUAAGGGAUGGUGAUUUUCAAGGAUGGAACACAGAGAUGACAAUUAUCUUGUGCCAGCCUGAGUGUGGGCAUGUGAGCCAUUCUCUAUGGCUCUCUUUUGAGGACCAUAGAAAACCUUUUAAUAGUUUUCUUUUUCAUUUAAUAACCUUUCCUGGGAUAUACAUGAUAUGAUUUAUCCACAGAGUGUAAGUGCUUGCUUCAAAGUCUCUUUUACUGCAGGCCUACUGACAUUGCUACUUUCCAGACAUUUUUUGGGCCUCAUGUUGCAGUAUGCAUUUGUUCUGGUGUUAAUGGUCUGUUGACUCUGAAAUACUGCUUGUUCAUCCCUUGUGUAUUGUCUCUUUACUCCUGUACUGCUAUGAUGUAUUUUCAGAAAUUUUGGAUGUGACAAAUUCAGUGGUUUAGGCUGUGUAAAUCUCCCCAGUUGUGCUACAGCCCAUUGAUAACCCAUUAGAGCUCGUAGAAACGAGUCAGAGACUGAUUUGGGUUAAAAAUAAUAUCUUUAUUAUUUUUGACCAGUUCUGUUUUUCAGUUUGCAGGGUAGCUGUGCAGACAGUUUGCUAAUGUUUAGGACAGGUGAUGAGAAGUGGUGAAGAAUCUGCUUGAGUGACCAAUAGAAAUACUCUGAAAGUUUGAUUACAAAUCUGAGUAUUGAGCAACAGUGGAUGUUCUUCAGGCUGAAAGGCUGGAAGAGGAGCACUGGCAAAGAUUUCUAGAGGGGAAGCAGUCCAUAGCAUCACCAUUUGUUAUGGUGACUCAUGCCAUAGGAUUUCUAGUCCCAGGAACUUUCUACACAGAACAACUCAGUAACUAACAUGAUGCAAUCAAAUUUGUGUUUGCUGUGAAUGAUCUUUCAAAGGACACUGCAGUCUGAUGUAAUUCAAAUCAGUCAUGCUGAAAUUUAAAUUAGUAAUUUCUCCUUCAAGGUGAGGGUAUGAGAAAUGUGUAUUUUAGGAACUAAUUUCUCCCAGUUAGCCUAAACAAAAUAAUUAGUGUUAUUGUGUUGCACAGUAACAGUGCUGCUCUCAGGAUGCACCCAGUGUUAGCUGGAGGGUUUGUUACACUUUUAAUAAAGAAGUAGCUGCAAAUGCAAAAGAAAACCUUGUGCCUCCAAGAUGGACAAAUGGAAACAAUUUUUUCUUUUUCAGUAAAACUACCUUUUAGUUAUGUUUUAACUUGGACUUGUUGGAACUUCGUUGAAAGCUUUUUCAAGUUUUAAGCAUGUGAUGCAGGUUUAUGUGUUGAUGUGACUCAAAUGGCUGAGUGAGCUGAUGGCUUGGAUGUUGUUCGUGAAGUGUAAAGGCAAGUGGCACAUUUUCAGGAAUGCUUUUGUGAGUAGAAUUAAUUGAAGAAAUUGUGGAUAUUAGUUCUAAGAGAAAACUAGUGUGCUGAAUUUUUUCACCAGCAGUGUUGUAGUUUUAGCUGCUCUAAGCAGAUAUGCUAUUACUGGCUCAAUGAAAGACUCACUGGCCCCAUGGUAGGACUUAGUGACAAGUGAUGCCUUUGUAGCUUGUCUCUCUUCCAAUUUCCUUGUACUUACUAAGGGUAUUUACCUCUAAACCAAAAUUGCUUGUGGGUAUCAGUGUGGUGAGAUGAUUCUCAAAAGGGCAUGAGGCUUUCAGUCUGUCUGUGUGGUUUGGUUGUGGUCGUGUUAGCAUCAGGGCAUCUCAAAGCAUCCUGGUGAUGUGAUGCCAGGGCAAAAUUGAGGCUGAUGAGGGAAAGUGCACCCAGCAGAAGCUCUUGCCAUCAUUUGGUAACCAACUAAAUCAGUGUGGUGUGUGGGUAUGUGCAGAGCCAGAGACACUGGGGAAUGGGCUCCAGGCUGACAUGUCCUGGGGAAGGAACCUGUUCAGGGGUUUCUCACAUGUUGAGAGGUGCUUUGUCUCUCAACAAAGGCCUUGUGAGACUUGGCUUGCACCAGAGUGCUUGGUAUAGUUGAUGGAAGACAGACUAAGAAAUAAAAUAGUUGUUGGCUUUCACUGUUUUUUUAAUGGCAGCUGCAGCUGUAGGAUUGACUGCAUGACCUGCUUUGAGGGGAAAGGUGUCCACUGGAAACAUCGGCUCUUAUGGGCUGCUGUCAUUGAUGAGAAUGUUUUGGGCUGGUGUUGUUGCAGAUACUUGGCUAAAUAACCUCUUUGAAGGACAUUGGUUAGAUCAUGGCAAGUGAUUCUAAUGCAACAACCUGUGUCUCUGACAUUCUCCCUUGAAGGUCCGGUUCUUUUUUUCUCCCCAUUUCUUUGCUUCUUUGAAAAUCUGUUGGUUUUCUUUGUGGAUAUGAGCUGUGGCUAGGAUCAAAAGAGAUGCAGAACACUGUGAUAUGGGUUAUUUAAAACUUCACUGAAUCGUCUCUAAAACCAAUAAGACCAUAAAAUAACAGCAUGAUGUUUUACAACAGAGAAAAGUUUGUGGGGUGUUACUUUUGCUUUCCUGGGCUUUUCUGCAGGAACAAAGUGAGAGUUGUACUUAACAAUCUUUUCUGUGCCAGUUAUUCUAAAUCCUUCAGCACAAUAUAGGUUUCAUUGGCAUCCAUAUGGUGCAUCUUGCCUGCCCUUCACCUUUCUGUAAGACAAUCUGAGUGCUUUAGGAAGCGCUUUUCCUGAGUGUCUCUGACUCAUAAGUGCAAAUACAGGUGUUAAUACAGCAGGAAGUGUUCCUUGAACUGAAUGGAUUUCAUCUCCUAUGGCUAAUCUUCCUGCAGAUUUCUUGCUAAAUCUCUCUAAAUGCACUUUAAUCCUCUAAAGGUUGAAUUAUGGCAUGUGCAGCUGGAAGCAUUUGUGUUGUAUUUGGUGAUCAAGUAUAAUACUGCCUAGAGUGUGGAAAAUAGUGGUUCAUUAUUCAGAACUGGACAAAGUAUUGUAAAUGUAUAUUGAAAUAGUCAAUCCACUGUCCUUGUAUUUGUCAGUGAAUAAGAAUGUAUUGACUUUUGUACUAACUUUUCAGCUAACAGUGUCUGUUUUUCUUACUUUGACACGAGAACCGGAUGAUUAACUUGUGUCCUCUCUCUUUCUCUGCUGUCUUCAAUAGAGCAUGCAUCAUUUUGAACGUGAAUUUUCGGAAAAGUAAGCUAAUGCUGAUUUAUCUCUUUAAAGAUGCUCUGUUUCUAAAUGGGAAAGUUGAAUGCAAAUCUUGAACUUAGUAUUGGGAGGGAAUAUAAGAAAAAAAUCUGAAUGUUCCUACAGAUUAUUUUAAUGAAAUGCAGCAUCUUUAAAACCUCACUAAAAUGAUUUUCUUUGUUCGCAUCCCAUUCUCAGCCAAGUUUUUAAUGCUGUUUGCACUAUUGCUGUCACUUUAAAUUCAUAAUUAAGUUUUUGUUUCAAUUCAGGCAUCAAGUUUACAGCAUCUGAUUUACUUCCUAUUCCUUUUAACACACUCUUUUAACAAAAAUGUCCCUGUAAAAACCCUUGGAGCAUCGUCCAUACCCCCAGCACCGCCUCCGCCACCCCUGCCACCAGCAGCUCCUCCCCUGAGUACAGAGGUGCCAAUGCCACAGCCCGUCAGUGCGAGCCGGGGAGCCUUGCUCAGCUCCAUCCAAAACUUUCAGAAAGGAACUCUGAAGAAAACACAGACGUGCGACUACAGUGCUCCCAGGAUCAGCUGAGGCCACUGGUCACUCCAGGAUUGAAUUCCCUCUCCCCCUCCUGUGCUGACCCUCCUGACCAGCAACUGACCCACCAGCACUGAUGACUUUGGAGCUCCGUUCUGCCCGAUUUCAGCUUUCCUCGAGCAGCAGCACUGCCCUGCCCGAAUUGCCUCCCCAUGCUGUGAUAAGUACUCCAUUCUUUACUGGGUUUCAAGAAUUGUGUUCUCUGGCUACAAUUGCAGGGGUACAGCAGCUUCUAUAUAGCUGAAUAAAAAUCUGAAAAUAGGAAUGACCAUGAUGAUGGUGAAUUAAUGCAUUUUUUCCUAGCUCUAUUCCACCCCUUUUUUUCAAAUUACAGGGAUGUAGUUUUAGUCUGCUCAGUUUUUCAACUCUUUCCAUGCACUUGUAACUCAUUGUAAUUCUUGCUGCAUUGAAUCAACAAGUUUUGUUUUAGAUAAUCCAACCCUUAAAACAUACUGCACAGGUGAGGGAACUGGAGAAUUAAAUCUUAUUCCCACCAUAUUUGCUGGUGGAGUUAAAAUGCUGUCUCACUAAGCUUGUUUAAAUGGACAUCCUACCUGCCACCACAAGGGAAAGUGUUUUUAAAUGAGGAAACAGUUGAAAUGGGAGUUAAUAGGGCACUGGGAUGUUAUUCUUGAUUUAGUUAAAUGCAAAGUUACUUCAAGUUAAUUCUACAGUUUAAACUUUAUUGAAAGAUCCUUUUUGAUUUAAAACCUUAAACAAAUUGCACUUUAAAGGAUUAUAGAUAAUCCAUUUUUUAAAAUUCAAGUACAUCAGUGUUUGUUACUAUGCAGAGAAUGUCUGUACAAAGUUUCAUGUAACCUGUGAUAUUCAGUCAUUUUUAUUAAAAUGUUAAUGGAA
Molecule: RNA transcript, 6188 nt
Organism: Chiroxiphia lanceolata (lance-tailed manakin)
Lineage: Eukaryota; Metazoa; Chordata; Aves; Passeriformes; Pipridae
Gene: PXK
Gene name: PX domain containing serine/threonine kinase like
Exons: 18
Source: RefSeq, a predicted model, not a curated record